UACGUUGGGGGCAAGCGUUGUUCGGAAUUACUGGGCGUAAAGGGCUCGUAGGCGGCCAACUAAGUCAGACGUGAAAUCCCUCGGCUUAACCGGGGAACUGCGUCUGAUACUGGAUGGCUUGAGUUCGGGAGAGGGAUGCGGAAUUCCAGGUGUAGCGGUGAAAUGCGUAGAUAUCUGGAGGAACACCGGUGGCGAAGGCGGCAUCCUGGACCGGUAUUGACGCUGAGGCGCGAAAGCCAGGGGAGCAAACGGG
RNAcentral lists this ribosomal RNA (253 nucleotides) under uncultured bacterium. Its description in RNAcentral is "partial 16S ribosomal RNA". It matches the Rfam family "Bacterial small subunit ribosomal RNA", at positions 524 to 776 of the family's 1533-position model. The record is from RNAcentral.